This 550-nucleotide long non-coding RNA is filed under the name Ananas comosus (pineapple). Its description in RNAcentral is "long non-coding RNA (ACOM_LNC040367)". Lineage: Eukaryota; Viridiplantae; Streptophyta; Magnoliopsida; Poales; Bromeliaceae. The record is from RNAcentral.
CUUUUUUUAUUUUAGUAUUCUAUAGUUUAAAGUGUAUCAAUUUAGUACCCUGUGAUUUCGCACUUUUUUAUUUUAGUACCCUAUGGUUUAAAGUGCAUCAGUUUAGUACCCUGUGAUAUUAUUUUUCUCUUUUCGUCGGCUCUUUUGUUAAUAUUUCAUUAAAUUAUAUAAAAAAAGCUUCAGAUACCUUAUUUAGGUUUAUCGAAUAUUAUUUCAACACCUUUAGUUUUAACUUUGUCACUAAAUUUUUUUUCCUCCGUUAAUAUUUCGUUAAAUUAUAUACAAAAAACUUCAGAUAUCUUACCUAAGUUUAUCAAAUAUUCAUUUUAGUAUCCUUUAAUUUUAACUUUGUCGCUGAUUUAACAAAAAAAAUUAGUGAAAUGGAUAAUAAAAAGAGAAAAAUGAAACCACAUGGCACUAACUUGAUACACUUUAAACCACAGAGUAGUAAAAUGAGAAAGUGCGAAACCACAGGGGCUAACGUGAUACACUUUAAACCAUAGGGUACUAAAAUGAGAAAGUAUGAAAUCACAGGGGUAUUUGAAUUUUA